AUGAAUUCCAACAUCAUGGAGUCAAAGCCCAGGCCCAAAGAAAAGAUAAAGAGGCUUCUUAAUCCUUGCCAUAGAGGCAGGCUAAAAAUGGCUACAGCUUAUAAAUCUCAAGCUUUCAUGCUAAGUUUGCUUAAAGGGGAUCCAAAGAUGAUGGGGGUUCUCCAGGUCCUGAUAGGUCUAAUCGUCACUAUACUUGGAGCCUUUUUAUUUUCCAACAAAACUGAACUUCCAAAGUCAAGUUUUUCUCAUUUCUUUAUCACAAGGUACCCAUUCUGGACAGGAGCAUGUUAUGCCAUUAUAGGAGUCUUCACUAUUCUUAAUGGUGUGAACUAUAAAAAUCAGGAUCGUCUGAGUCUUUACAUGGAUGUCCUUGGGGCCCUGAUCUCUGCGUCUGGGAUCAGCGUCCUCUUCUACAGCUUAUCUCUCCAUCAGUUUGUUCACCCUGCAUCAGGUGGCAUGGGUGCCAUGGUUGAACCCCUUCUUCAUGGUGUUCUGUCUGUUUUGUUGAUCCUCACCAUCUUCCAAUUCUCCAUCACAGCAAUGGUCUUAGCUUCGAAGUGUAAAGGAACAGGGGAAAGCCCUGCAGAUGAGGCGUGUUCAACAUCACUGAGAGACCCACGACAGAAUAUCUAUUUUCCCUUCUUCUGAAGUCAA
This 654-nucleotide long non-coding RNA is filed under the name Monodelphis domestica (gray short-tailed opossum). RNAcentral describes it as "lncRNA (ENSMODG00000050736.1)". The record is from RNAcentral. Lineage: Eukaryota; Metazoa; Chordata; Mammalia; Didelphimorphia; Didelphidae.